RNAcentral lists this ribosomal RNA (137 nucleotides) under uncultured bacterium. RNAcentral describes it as "partial 16S ribosomal RNA". It matches the Rfam family "Bacterial small subunit ribosomal RNA", at positions 355 to 509 of the family's 1533-position model. The record is from RNAcentral.
UGGGGAAUAUUGCACAAUGGGGGAAACCCUGAUGCAGCGACGCCGCGUGAGCGAAGAAGUAUUUCGGUAUGUAAAGCUCUAUCAGCAGGGAAGAAAUUGACGGUACCUGAGUAAGAAGCUCCGGCUAAAUACGUGCC